AAACAAACGACUCUCGGCAACGGAUAUCUCGGCUCUCGCAUCGAUGAAGAACGUAGCGAAAUGCGAUACUUGGUGUGAAUUGCAGGAUCCCGUGAAUCAUCGAGUCUUUGAACGCAAGUUGCGCCCGAAGCCAUUAGGCCGAGGGCACGCCUGCCUGGGCGUCACGCAUCGCGUC
Molecule: ribosomal RNA, 175 nt
Filed under: Dillenia tetrapetala
Lineage: Eukaryota; Viridiplantae; Streptophyta; Magnoliopsida; Dilleniales; Dilleniaceae
Description: 5.8S ribosomal RNA
Rfam family: 5.8S ribosomal RNA (bases 9-164)
About the family: 5.8S ribosomal RNA (5.8S rRNA) is a component of the large subunit of the eukaryotic ribosome.
Source: RNAcentral